CCUACGGGAGGCAGCAGUGAGGAAUAUUGGUCAAUGGGCGCUAGCCUGAACCAGCCAAGUAGCGUGAAGGAAGACUGCCCUCUGGGUUGUAAACUUCUUUUAUAUGGGAAUAAAGUGCAGGAUGUAUACUGCUUUGCAUGUACCUUAUGAAUAAGGAUCGGCUAACUCCGUGCCCGCAGCCGCGGUAAUACCGAGGAUUCGAGCGUUUUCCGGGUUUGUUUGGUUUAAAGGGAGCGUAGGCGGGUUGUUAAGUUAGUUGUGAAAGUUUGGGGCUCAACCGUAAAAAUGCAGUUGAUACUGGCAGCCUUGAGUGCAGUAGAGGUAGGCGGAAUUCGUGGUGUAGCGGUGAAAUGCUUAGAUAUCACGAAGAACUCCGAUUGCGAAGGCAGCCUUCUGGACUGUAACUGACGCUGAGGCUCGAAAGUGUGGGUAUCAAACAGGAUUAGAUACCCUUGUAGUC
RNAcentral lists this ribosomal RNA (460 nucleotides) under uncultured bacterium. RNAcentral's name for it is "partial 16S ribosomal RNA". It matches the Rfam family "Bacterial small subunit ribosomal RNA", at positions 338 to 795 of the family's 1533-position model. The record is from RNAcentral.